RNAcentral lists this ribosomal RNA (1367 nucleotides) under metagenome. RNAcentral's name for it is "bacterial SSU rRNA". It matches the Rfam family "Bacterial small subunit ribosomal RNA". The record is from RNAcentral.
CAGGAUGAACGCUGGCGGCGUGCUUAACACAUGCAAGUCGAACGAACCUUCGGGUUAGUGGCGGACGGGUGAGUAACGCGUGGGAAUCUGCCCUCAGGAGGGGGAUAACGGCUGGAAACGGCCGCUAAUACCCCAUAUGCCGAGAGGUGAAAAGAAAUUCGCCUGAGGAUGAGCCCGCGUCUGAUUAGCUAGUUGGUGGGGUAAGAGCUCACCAAGGCGACGAUCAGUAGCUGGUCUGAGAGGAUGAUCAGCCACACUGGGACUGAGACACGGCCCAGACUCCUACGGGAGGCAGCAGUGGGGAAUUUUCCGCAAUGGGCGAAAGCCUGACGGAGCAACGCCGCGUGAGGGAUGAAGGCCUCUGGGCUGUAAACCUCUUUUCUCAAGGAAGAAGACAUGACGGUACUUGAGGAAUAAGCCACGGCUAAUUCCGUGCCAGCAGCCGCGGUAAUACGGGAGUGGCAAGCGUUAUCCGGAAUUAUUGGGCGUAAAGCGUCCGCAGGCGGCCCUGUAAGUCUGUCGUUAAAGCGUGGAGCUUAACUCCAUUUAAGCGAUGGAAACUACAGGGCUUGAGUGUGGUAGGGGCAGAGGGAAUUCCCGGUGUAGCGGUGAAAUGCGUAGAUAUCGGGAAGAACACCAGUGGCGAAGGCGCUCUGCUGGGCCAUAACUGACGCUCAUGGACGAAAGCCAGGGGAGCGAAAGGGAUUAGAUACCCCUGUAGUCCUGGCCGUAAACGAUGAACACUAGGUGUCGGGGGAAUCGACCCCCUCGGUGUCGUAGCCAACGCGUUAAGUGUUCCGCCUGGGGAGUACGCACGCAAGUGUGAAACUCAAAGGAAUUGACGGGGGCCCGCACAAGCGGUGGAGUAUGUGGUUUAAUUCGAUGCAACGCGAAGAACCUUACCAGGGUUUGACAUCCUGCGAACCCCUUGGAAACGAGGGAGUGCCUUCGGGAGCGCAGAGACAGGUGGUGCAUGGCUGUCGUCAGCUCGUGUCGUGAGAUGUUGGGUUAAGUCCCGCAACGAGCGCAACCCACGUCUUUAGUUGCCAGCAUUCAGUUGGGCACUCUAGAGAGACCGCCGGUGAUAAACCGGAGGAAGGUGUGGAUGACGUCAAGUCAUCAUGCCCCUUACAUCCUGGGCUACACACGUACUACAAUGCUACGGACAAAGGGCAGCAAGCUCGCGAGAGUUAGCAAAUCCCAUAAACCGUGGCUCAGUUCAGAUCGUAGGCUGCAACUCGCCUACGUGAAGGAGGAAUCGCUAGUAAUCGCAGGUCAGCAUACUGCGGUGAAUACGUUCCCGGGCCUUGUACACACCGCCCGUCACACCAUGGAAGUUGGCCAUGCCCGAAGUCGUUACUCCAACC